AUAAAGAAACAAGCCAUAACACAUUUAGUUACUAAGCCGAAAUAACAGUGCACACGAGCCACCAUCCUGCGACCCCCUGACAUGGGCUACUUGCUUGAAAUACAAGCAAGAAUUGCUGAUUUUCUUGCACUGCCAAAGUUACAAAUCCACAUCCGCCAACGACAACGUCGUCAUCGAAACUCGGCAGAAAAGGCAGACGGAUCGGUGUGAGCUGCGGCAAAAACGCGGUCCGAAAGAAAGUGGAGGAAAUUGCUCCGUAAUAUCAACCACGGGGUGAAUUGACACCGAAUCCCGGAACUUGGGCAGGAGCAGUGCCCAACACAGGAGAAACAGAUCGCACUAUCGGUCUGGAAACAUCACGCUCUACAAAUCUUGUACAAGAUCCGGCAAGCUGCUGCACAAUUCGGCAAGCUCGCACUGAGUUUUUCCUGCGGUGCGAACGCGAAUAAAAGUGUCCGAAGGUAAGAAGUUCCCGAAAAGCCCUAUGCAAAAAGGUCUAACCCCACAUUUGACAACGCAGGAGGAACGUGUCAGCCAUCAUCCGGUUAGAGGAUCGGGGUCGGCAAGAUUGACCGCACACGACGGCGUAGUCAGCGAGUCCGGACCGAGCCACACACACCGCGAAUUCACGGAGGAAAAACGGGUGUCCGGGCAGCGACCUGAAUACGGGUAGGACGAUCUGCACCAUUGCGAACUGGCAACCCACAUCGUUCCGAAGCGCUGAUUCCUUGGCCUGCACGUAUCCAUAGGAUCGCUCCGGCUCUUGAUCACUCAACGGAAUCGAUCGGAUCACCCUGUUAUCCGUGCGCGGUGCCAAACGCAUCGCUUCAACUGAACCGUCUCGAGAAAAGGCCUUUCAUAGAAAGUAAGUCUAAUUGCUGCAACAAAACGAUCUGGGGCUAACACGGGCGGAUUUCCGCAGGGCCUUUUCUUGUGUCUUUUGGACUUUCGCAGACAGUACGCCGACGGGUAAGCUGCCAACAAGAAAACACUCGCCAAGAUUGAGUGGCCACCACCUAACGCGUCCGGAAAAGCCGGUGUGCAGCGCAGCGAGAUGCGAUCUGUGGAGGGUUGUCGUCGUCCAAACUAAGAGCCGUCCGAUCGUCGGGAAUGGCCCAUGUCAGCAUCAGCCGGUCCGUGAGUAGCAAGUUAAGCAAAACAAUAUUUUAGUAUUAAGAAAGAAACCAGUUAGGCAGAAUAGGGUCAGUGCAGGAAUCUGAUUGAAUACAUGGCUUGGUUAUGAAACCGUAAUCUGAUCAUUAGUUGGCGUUUGAUUUUGUGCUAGCCGAGACGACUGUAAGCCAUUUCUUCUGCUUAGGUCGAACCUCCAC
Molecule: long non-coding RNA, 1331 nt
Organism: Aedes albopictus (Asian tiger mosquito)
Lineage: Eukaryota; Metazoa; Arthropoda; Insecta; Diptera; Culicidae
Exons: 3
Source: RefSeq, a predicted model, not a curated record